AAGCUUCAAGAGCAUGAGAUGGAGCUUGGAUAUGUGACCAUGCAUGAGGAGUCUGAUCGGAAAAAGAAAGGAAUAUCUCUUAAAGCUACAACAUCACAACCCACUGAAGAGAUAGACAAUGACGACUCUGACUCUAACAUUGAUGAAGAAACGCUAAACCUUCUCGUGCAAAAGUUUGGGAAAUUUCUAAAGAAGAAAGGAGGUUUCAAGCGAUUUCAAAAGAAAGAGGCAUGAGAAUAAACUAGGAAAGGCAAGAAUAAGGAGGGCUUCACUUGCCAUGAAUGUGGUAAGCCGGGUGUUGAAAGGUUUUUCUUGGGGGAAGAGUUGGCUUUCCCCUCUCAACAAAUCGUCCUAGCAGUAGUGCCAAUUUGUUGAAAGCGGAAAUUCC
This 388-nucleotide long non-coding RNA is filed under the name Lupinus angustifolius (narrow-leaved blue lupine). RNAcentral's name for it is "long non-coding RNA (LANG_LNC001542)". Lineage: Eukaryota; Viridiplantae; Streptophyta; Magnoliopsida; Fabales; Fabaceae. The record is from RNAcentral.